Molecule: long non-coding RNA, 1670 nt
Organism: Neopsephotus bourkii (Bourke's parrot)
Lineage: Eukaryota; Metazoa; Chordata; Aves; Psittaciformes; Psittacidae
Exons: 3
Source: RefSeq, a predicted model, not a curated record
CUAUUAUAGAAAUAGUUCCCCAUCCCCUUAAUAUCCCCAGGAGUUCAGUAUAUUGCGAUAUUGCAAACCUAAAAGGUUUCUUGAAACAGAACAAUGAUGCAUAAAAUUAAUCUUUUACUACUGUAUUUCAUGUGUCCACCUUGCUAUCUUGCCUCUGUAUAGAAUUUCAGAUUUCCACUUGAAAAGGUAAGGGAAAACAAUCUUAUAAUAAUACUUACUAGAUAUAUUCAUGGGGGUUUAUGUUAUCCUAUUUAAAAUUGAAAUGGAAUUGAGAUACAACCAAAACUUAAGAGAAAACUAAUAUUAUUGGUAUCAUAAAGGGGAUAAAAUAUGAAGCAGAGAAAUGCGACAUUAGAUGAACAAAUGUCAUCUUACGUUGACGCAUUUCGACCAUGUCUACCUUUGUUCCUCCAAACAACUCUACUGAGAGAGUCCUGGUAGCCUGUCUUGCUGUCACCAAGAAAACAAGAUUUUGCUGGAAAGCAAAAAAUGAUGUCUAACUCACAGAAAAACAGUCCACGAUUUUCAAGACUUUUCCUGUUCCACCAUUUGGAGCUGUUACAUCUAGCAAAGAAUCCACCUCCCAGUGCAGCUUCUCAGCAUGUUUUGCUCUGAAGACUUCAAAUUCUUCUCUGCAUUUCACUUGCAGGCAGCAAAUACUCUUAUCUACUCACACGCUGUCAAAACUAUGUCUUUUGUGUCCCAUGGAAGUUGUGUGAUGUGAGGAAGUUCCUCCCUAGAACCCAUCUCUUGCACUGCAGGUGUUUGAGUUUUCCAGCCCGCUGGUAGCAGGCAGAUUUAUAUUAUUGGUAAUGCCAGCAACUGUUUUCUUGUCUUAGCUUAAGGUGGAAGCAAUUGCUCAGGGGUCCUGUAAAUCAUAGUGCUGUGGUAUCAUUGUCCAAAUUUAAAAAGUAAAGAAGAACCCUUUGGUACACAAUAAGCUGGCAGUAAUUUUCACAUUACUCCAGGCAGUAUCACAUUCAUUGCUUGGCAGAUCUGUUUUUAAUUCAGACUUCUCCUUUAGCUCCCUCUUGCAGGUACGCAAUAGUAUUUAACUGUUUGUGUCCAUCAGCCUUGGCUUUAUUUGCUGCCAAACUGUUUCAGGAUAUCUAGCAAAAAGCACAGACGAAUACUAAAGACUAUCUGUCCUACAGAGAUCACAGAAAUUUGGGGGCAGGGGAGAAAGAAAUCUAAGAGCUGACAGUACGAGCUAGUACCAGAGAGUACAAGGCCUACCUCACAUGCAGCAAAUUGGUCUCUAAAAAUACAUCUACCUGUCUGAGCUCAGGGACAUAGCACAACAAAUAAUAAGAGGACAGGAGAGGAAGCAAUACAGUUCUGUGAAAAACUGCACCCCAGGCUAGUCCUUUAAAAAAUUGUACCUGACAUCAUUUUAAGUAAUGCAGAUUAUUCCAGGGAAUGGAAAGUAUUCAUACCUUAACCUGCAGUUCUGUUAGCUGGCAGAAUUUAUUACCUGAAACUACUUCAGCAAGCUCUUGGGCCACUUGCAUAUCUAAUAUGCUUGUUUUGUGGGGGACAGAGAGGCAGAGACAGAGCAAAAGUAAGUUUUGGAGAGUGCCGCUAUUAGUGCUGUAAGCCCUACAUGAUAUAAAUGCAGUUUCUUUGAGGACUGAUGGUUGUACACAGGGAACAAUCAAAGGCAAAUCAAA